CCUACGGGUGGCUGCAGUGGGGAAUAUUGCACAAUGGGGGAAACCCUGAUGCAGCAACGCCGCGUGUAUGAUGAAGGUUUUCGGGUUGUAAACUCCUUUUAUGAGGGAAGAUAAUGACGGUAUCUCACGAAUAAGCCCCGGCUAACUCCGUGCCAGCAGCCGCGGUAAUACGGAGGGUGCAAGCGUUACUCGGAAUCACUGGUCGUAAAGAGUGCGCAGGCGGGCUUGUAAGUCAGAUGUGAAAUCCUGUAGCUUAACGACAGAACUGCAUUUGAAACUAUGAGUCUAGAGUGUGGGAGAGGUAGGUGGAAUUCUUGGUGUAGGGGUAAAAUCCGUAGAUAUCAAGAGGAAUACCCAUGGCGAAGGCGACCUACUGGAACAUUACUGACGCUCAGACACGAAAGCGUGGGGAGCAAACAGGAUUAGAUACCCGAGUAGUC
This 440-nucleotide ribosomal RNA is filed under the name uncultured bacterium. Its description in RNAcentral is "partial 16S ribosomal RNA". It matches the Rfam family "Bacterial small subunit ribosomal RNA", at positions 338 to 795 of the family's 1533-position model. The record is from RNAcentral.